RNAcentral lists this transfer RNA (72 nucleotides) under Camponotus floridanus (Florida carpenter ant). RNAcentral describes it as "tRNA-Ala". It matches the Rfam family "tRNA". From Rfam's summary of the family: Transfer RNA (tRNA) molecules are approximately 80 nucleotides in length. Their secondary structure includes four short double-helical elements and three loops (D, anti-codon, and T loops). Lineage: Eukaryota; Metazoa; Arthropoda; Insecta; Hymenoptera; Formicidae. The record is from RNAcentral.
GGCUGAAUAGCUCAGUGGUAAGAGCAGUCGCCUAGCAAGCGAAAGACUCGGGUUCGAUUCCCAAUUCAGCAA